GUCGAACGAAGGCUUCGGCCUUAGUGGCGCACGGGUGCGUAACGCGUGGGAAUCUGCCCUUAGGUUCGGAAUAACAGUUAGAAAUGACUGCUAAUACCGGAUGAUGACGUAAGUCCAAAGAUUUAUCGCCUAGGGAUGAGCCCGCGUAGGAUUAGCUAGUUGGUGUGGUAAAGGCGCACCAAGGCGACGAUCCUUAGCUGGUCUGAGAGGAUGAUCAGCCACACUGGGACUGAGACACGGCCCAGACUCCUACGGGAGGCAGCAGUGGGGAAUAUUGGACAAUGGGCGCAAGCCUGAUCCAGCAAUGCCGCGUGAGUGAUGAAGGCCUUAGGGUUGUAAAGCUCUUUUACCCGGGAUGAUAAUGACAGUACCGGGAGAAUAAGCCCCGGCUAACUCCGUGCCAGCAGCCGCGGUAAU
This 417-nucleotide ribosomal RNA is filed under the name uncultured bacterium. Its description in RNAcentral is "bacterial SSU rRNA". It matches the Rfam family "Bacterial small subunit ribosomal RNA", at positions 61 to 524 of the family's 1533-position model. The record is from RNAcentral.